GACGAACGCUGGCGGCGUGCUUAACACAUGCAAGUCGAACGGAAAGGCCCUGCUUUUGGGGUGUGCUCGAGUGGCGAACGGGAGAGUAACACGUGAGUCACCUGCCCUUGACUUUGGGAUAACUUCAGGAAACUGGUGCUAAUACCGGACCGCUGCCCCUGCUGCAUGGUGGGGGUUGGAAUGCUUCGGCGGCUGGGGAUGGACGCGCGGCUUAUCAGCUUGUUGGUGGGGUAGUGGCUUACCAAGGCCUUGACGGGUAGCCGGCCUGAGAGGGUGACCGGCCACAUUGGGACUGAGAUACGGCCCAGACUCCUACGGGAGGCAGCAGUGGGGAAUAUUGCACAAUGGGCGGAAGCCUGAUGCAGCGACGCCGCGUGCGGGAUGACGGCCUUCGGGUUGUAAACCGCUUUCGCCUGUGACGAAGCGUGAGUGACGGUAAUGGGUGAAGAAGCACCGGCUAACUACGUG
This 468-nucleotide ribosomal RNA is filed under the name uncultured bacterium. Its description in RNAcentral is "partial 16S ribosomal RNA". It matches the Rfam family "Bacterial small subunit ribosomal RNA", at positions 28 to 507 of the family's 1533-position model. The record is from RNAcentral.